Molecule: ribosomal RNA, 301 nt
Filed under: uncultured bacterium
Lineage: Bacteria
Description: partial 16S ribosomal RNA
Rfam family: Bacterial small subunit ribosomal RNA
Source: RNAcentral
CAGUAGCCACGGGAAUACAGAGGGUGCAAGCGUUAAUCGGAAUUACUGGGCGUAAAGCGCGCGUAGGUGGUUCGCCAAGUUGGAUGUGAAAUCCCCGGGCUCAACCUGGGAACUGCAUCCAAAACUGGCGAGCUAGAGUAUGGUAGAGGGUGGUGGAAUUUCCUGUGUAGCGGUGAAAUGCGUAGAUAUAGGAAGGAACAUCAGUGGCGAAGGCGACCACCUGGACUGAUACUGACACUGAGGUGCGAAAGCGUGGGGAGCAAACAGGAUUAGAUACCCGUGUAGUCCCUGUCUCUUAUAC